Molecule: ribosomal RNA, 174 nt
Filed under: uncultured bacterium
Lineage: Bacteria
Description: partial 16S ribosomal RNA
Rfam family: Bacterial small subunit ribosomal RNA
Source: RNAcentral
ACUCCUACGGGAGGCAGCAGUGGGGAAUAUUGCACAAUGGGGGAAACCCUGAUGCAGCGACGCCGCGUGAAGGAAGAAGUAUCUCGGUAUGUAAACUUCUAUCAGCAGGGAAGAUAGUGACGGUACCUGACUAAGAAGCCCCGGCUAACUACGUGCCAGCAGCCGCGGUAAUAC